CGCCGCCGCCGCCACAUGGUGCGGCCGGACGCAGCCUUGCGGCUCGGCCUCUCGCGUUGCCCUGCUUCCCGCCCGGAGCCGGCACCACGGCGGGACCGGGAACCAGGGUCUGGGGCGGGAAAAAGAACAGCAAGAAGCAAUUGAACAUAUUGAUGAAGUACAAAAUGAAAUAGACAGGCUUAAUGAACAAGCCAGUGAGGAAAUUUUGAAAGUAGAACAAAAAUAUAACAAACUCCGCCAACCAUUUUUUCAGAAGAGGUCAGAAUUGAUCGCCAAAAUCCCAAAUUUUUGGGUAACAACAUUUGUCAACCAUCCACAAGUGUCUGCACUGCUUGGGGAGGAAGACGAGGAGGCCCUGC
RNAcentral lists this long non-coding RNA (359 nucleotides) under Rattus norvegicus (Norway rat). Its description in RNAcentral is "long non-coding RNA NONRATT017993". Lineage: Eukaryota; Metazoa; Chordata; Mammalia; Rodentia; Muridae. The record is from RNAcentral.